AUCGAACGCUGGCGGCAGGCUUAACACAUGCAAGUCGAGCGGAGCGGCGGACGGGUGAGUAAUGCCUAGGAAUCUGCCUGGUAGUGGGGGAUAACGUCCGGCAAUGGGCGCUAAUACCGCAUACUAUCAGAUGAGCUUUGGUCGGAUUCGCUAGUGGGUGGGGUAAUGGCCUACCAAGGCGACGAUCCGUAACUGGUCUCAGAGGAUGAUCAGUAAAACGGGAACGUGGACACGGUCCGGACUCCUACGGGAGGCAGCAGUGGGGAAUAUUGGACAAGGGGCAAAAGCCUGAUGCAGCCAUGCCGCGUGUGUGAAGAAGGUGUUCGGAUUGUAAAGCACGUUAAGUUGGGAGACGUUACCAGCAGAGUAAGCACCGGCUAACUACGUGCCAGCAGCCGCGGUAAUUC
Molecule: ribosomal RNA, 407 nt
Filed under: uncultured bacterium
Lineage: Bacteria
Description: partial 16S ribosomal RNA
Rfam family: Bacterial small subunit ribosomal RNA
Source: RNAcentral